RNAcentral lists this ribosomal RNA (406 nucleotides) under uncultured bacterium. RNAcentral's name for it is "bacterial SSU rRNA". It matches the Rfam family "Bacterial small subunit ribosomal RNA", at positions 355 to 776 of the family's 1533-position model. The record is from RNAcentral.
UGAGGAAUAUUGGGCAAUGGGCGAAAGCCUGACCCAGCAACGCCGCGUGGAGGAUGAAGGCCCUCGGGUUGUAAACUCCUUUUCUGGGAGAAGAGACAAGGACGGUAUCCCAGGAAUAAGUCUCGGCUAACUACGUGCCAGCAGCCGCGGUAAAACGUAGGAGGCUAGCGUUAUCCGGAUUCACUGGGCGUAAAGCGCACGCAGGCGGUUAUGUAAGUCGGACGUGAAAGCUCCCGGCUCAACUGGGAGAAGUCGUUCGAUACUGCGUAACUUGAGGUUGGGAGAGGGGAGCGGAAUUCCCGGUGUAGUGGUGGAAUGCGUAGAUAUCGGGAGGAACACCAGUGGCGAAAGCGGCUCCCUGGCCCAUACCUGACGCUCAGGUGCGAAAGCGUGGGUAGCGAACGGG